CCCGCCGUUGUCGGGCUGCGGGCCGCCCCGGGCCCGGCCCCCUCGGCGCACUGGCUCCUGCCAGCCGGGAUUCGGAUGUGCAGGUGGGCAGAGCCUUCCUUUCCACCAGGAAGUUGGUGUUCUUGUGCCACAGAAGGCAGUGCACACAAUGGAUUCAUCCCUGUGCCCUGGCGGUCCCGGGGUGUGUGCGUGCAGACCGCUUUUGGGGUGGUGCCCUUCUAUCGGCUCAUUGCCUUGAGGGUCGCCCAGGAUUCGCUUUUGAGCCCAAGCUGUUUCUUUACAAAGAGCUGAAUCGGUCCACGGGUACGGCCAAGCUCUUGACCUGAGAGGCGCAUCCUGCCGUCUUCCCUGCCCGCAGUCUUGCCUGUUGGCCUCACCCAGUUAUCUGGGAUAUCAGGUUCCCCUCCCCACGAGUUACGGCAGGAUCUCAUAGGAUGCUUGUCUCCCCAGUUAUCCCGCCACCCCGACCUCUGCACCUGGCUUGCAACAGAACCACGUUGGGUCCUGUUUGGGGGGCCUUAAAAGCUGCUUGUAAUCAGAAGCAUCCAAAAUGCAUCAGAAGAAGCCAAUAUUUAAAGGAAAUUCUUGGCAGAUUAAUAAACCAUAGCAUUCUCUUACAAA
Manis javanica (Malayan pangolin) is the source of this 621-nucleotide non-coding RNA. The record is from RefSeq and is a predicted model, not a curated record. Lineage: Eukaryota; Metazoa; Chordata; Mammalia; Pholidota; Manidae.